RNAcentral lists this microRNA precursor (84 nucleotides) under Bombyx mori (domestic silkworm). RNAcentral's name for it is "mir-2807 microRNA precursor family". It matches the Rfam family "mir-2807 microRNA precursor family". The record is from Rfam by way of RNAcentral. Lineage: Eukaryota; Metazoa; Arthropoda; Insecta; Lepidoptera; Bombycidae.
UUAACUCAACUUGUGUAUGGAGUUGGAGCGUUUGCUAGAGCUAGAGCUAGAGACGCUGUUUCAACUGCAUACAAAUUUGAGUUA